UUGCAUGUUGAUGGGUAAUACAGGCCAUAUUAAAAUUAGGUUUUCAUUUAGUUAUGAUAUAAACCAUGCCCAUUUUCACCUGAUAUUCCUUGUGAUUCCCAGCAUGUGUUUAUGAGAUGGUUGAUAGAAUCAUUGGGGGAAAGUAUGGCAGUGACUGGCUCCAAUGGGGGGGGACCAAGCCCUUAAUUUGAUUGAAAUGAUGGUCUUUUUGUGUGUUCGCCUCCCUCCGAGCUGACUAUAACCAGCUUUGCCUUUUGAGCUGGCUGGUAUCUGUGUAGGUCAUAAAAUGUGAUGUUCUUAAAAUUCAUAUUUUAGAGAAUAGACUCUUGAAGUGGAAUUAUCAUUUAAAGCAAUUUAUUCUCUUUUUCAUUUUGGAUUUUCCUCCCUUGCACUCCUGGCCCAUCUCAGGAGCAUCGUGCAGCACGUCACCAGGGUGGUCCAUUCCAGCCGCAGAUUCAUUUGUCAUACUUGUACGACAGUCUCCUCCUCCACCGCCACUGCAGGGGAGUGCAUCACCUAUCAGCAUUCUGGAGCAGAAUGGAAGAGUUUAUUUUGAGGCCGCAAAAGUAGUGCUGCUACAGACAGAUCAUGAACGAGCGAGAGUGAGAGAGUGGACUUCAUUUCCAAAGGUCUUGAAACACAAAUGAUUUUUGGUAAGUCAUCUGAAGGGCUUGGCAUUUGUUACCUUUAAAUCUCAUCAGUCAUCAUUUAUUUACUGUCCCAGGACAUAUUAUUCAAGUGCAUAGCUAUUUCUCUACAACCCAAGCAGCGAGAUGUUUCAGAAAACGUUCUAGCCAUAGAGAGCCAAAAGGGCAACCAAAUUGACUUAAUGUGUUUGUUUUCGGAGACUUGCAGACAAGUAGGACCUGAGUAGAAUGCGUUUGUAGACUUAAUAAGAUGAAAGACAGAAAAGAAACAGAAAAGCAAUCCACCUCUUCCAGAUACUCCCUUUUAACGGAAAGUAUCAGGAAUUACUCAUACAAGAGACAUUUGAUGCAAUCUGAUG
This 1006-nucleotide long non-coding RNA is filed under the name Dasypus novemcinctus (nine-banded armadillo). RNAcentral describes it as "lncRNA (ENSDNOG00000050516.1)". Lineage: Eukaryota; Metazoa; Chordata; Mammalia; Cingulata; Dasypodidae. The record is from RNAcentral.